This is a long non-coding RNA of Populus euphratica (Euphrates poplar), 344 nucleotides long. RefSeq lists it as uncharacterized. Lineage: Eukaryota; Viridiplantae; Streptophyta; Magnoliopsida; Malpighiales; Salicaceae. The transcript is spliced from 3 exons. The record is from RefSeq and is a predicted model, not a curated record.
GCACAGGCAAGAACCAUGAGGUGACCCAAGACCAACAUUGUUUCCAUUUGAAAUAUAUUUGUAACAAUGGUAAAAAGAGCAAGCUAUUGUGCCAAGAAGGAAAGUCAGCCUAAAUAAGAUAUAUUCACAUUUUGUAUAUAUAUAUAUCAGAGACACCAAGUGACUUAGUGUAACUCAUUUACAUGAAUCCAACAAAGGAAGCAUCUACAUUAUAAUUCAAGAACAAUAAUGAUGAUUAUUUCAGCUAUAUGUAGAAGACUCUAAUGUAAUAUAGUGUUCAUCAAAUUGUGAUCAUCCAACACAAACUUUUGCGAUAUGCAGCAUCAUUUGAAUUAUCUGCAGAU